Molecule: ribosomal RNA, 389 nt
Filed under: uncultured microorganism
Description: bacterial SSU rRNA
Rfam family: Archaeal small subunit ribosomal RNA
Source: RNAcentral
GCGCAGCAGUCGAGAAACCUCCGCAAUGCGGGAAACCGUGACGGGGUCACCCCGAGUGCCACCCGCUGAGGGUGGCUUUUCCCCGGUCUAAAGAGCCGGGGGAAUAAGCGGGGGGCAAGACUGGUGUCAGCCGCCGCGGUAAUACCAGCCCCGCGAGUGGUCGGGACGUUUAUUGGGCCUAAAGCGUCCGUAGCCGGCCCGGUAAUUCCCUCCUUAAAGCCCACGGCUCAACCGUGGGAACGGAGGGAUAAUGCCGGGCUAGGGGGCGGGAGAGGCCGGGGGUACUCCCGGGGUAGGGGCGAAAUCCUGUAAUCCCGGGAGGACCGCCAGUGGCGAAGGCGCCCGGCUGGAACGCGCCCGACGGUGGGGACGAAAGCUGGGGGAGCAAA